GAGGAGGUCAUAGGGAAAGCCUCAAAGGAACAAGCCCAGCUCUACAUCAAGACAUAUUUUUGGCUUAUUACUUAGAAUUCUUCCUAUUAAAAUUUAAUGCAGUCUUCUCUAGCAGUUCAUUUUGUCUGCCAAGUCCUUUAUGACUAUUUUGAUAAGUUAUUUAUUACCUAUGGAUGCCACAGUGAUAAGCAGAUAGCAUAAGCAAGAGCUCAGGGGACAGAGAGAAAGGGCCACGUCCACUCCUGAUCAGUUGAGGCUAAAUUGUUAGAUCCUAUGACAAUCUCUGCGCGCCAUCACGGAACUCUCAAUCACACCUCUCUGUUCAACGCCCUUGGGAUCGCGGGCUCCAAAUGCACUGCAUGCCCCACCAAUUCUGUGUUCAACAAGAUUUCUAAAUCUAUGCCGUGUUCUAAAUCAGCCCUCCACACGCCUGCCAAUCUGAGUGUUCUCUCUCUUGCUUUGAUUGUGUAAGUAGUGGUGACAGUAUACGUUAAGAGGAAAAAAAUAAAAACCCCAGAGUUGGGUUGUGCAUUGUAAUUUACAAAGCAUUUUACACCCAUCUCUCACCGGAGAUGCAUAAACCUCGCUGGAGCAGGACAAGAGUGAGGACCAGAGUGUGAUGGUGCCUACCCUAUGGGUGAGGAAGUUGGCCCGAGUGGCAGGCCCCUCGUUACCCAUCUACUCAACAGCAGAACAGGCCAAUAAUUGUUCCCCACAUCACAGUGGGCUUGGAUGUUUCCAUUUUGCUUUGGAAACGAAGAGGGAAAAACAUAUGUUAACUGAACACUCAUCGUGUGUGUGGUGUCUCAUUUGAUGCCUAUUCUUGCAACAGGGAUAAUUAUAGCAUCCUUACCCAGGAGCAACUUUCUCUAGGCCAGCAAAGAAAAAGAUGCACGUGUAUCCUCUGCAAAGAACACCCUUUGCUCUUCUUAUCCCUCUUUGUCUGGAUACAUUAAAGCAGUAACUCCACCAGUAUAAAGCCCUAAACAUGAGCAGUAGGUGCUGGGUGCAUUUUCCCAACAUUCACUAGUUUGACGUGUGGAUUUACCAGUUGGAUUAUGAGUGAUCACCUAUAUUUACGGUUCUUUCGACAUACUAAAAAAUGCUCUAAUUUCCAAGGGUGUGAGUAAGACACAUAGCUUCUCUGUGUACAUCAUGGUUGUAGAGUCAGGUUCCCAAGCUGCUUUCUCUCUCUUUUACUUUAGGAACCCAGGAAGAUGCCAUUUGUUGAACAUUUGAAGGAACCAAUCAAUCAAUCAAUGUGGGUAAGCACUACUUAUUCAAGGGAUGGUACAGAAAAGGGAUCAGGCUAUAAACUGAAAUUUUGGGGAGUUCCCGGCAUGGCGCAGUGGUUAACGAAUCUGACUAGGAACCAU
RNAcentral lists this long non-coding RNA (1376 nucleotides) under Sus scrofa (pig). RNAcentral describes it as "lncRNA (ENSSSCG00050010281.1)". Lineage: Eukaryota; Metazoa; Chordata; Mammalia; Artiodactyla; Suidae. The record is from RNAcentral.